GGCCGAGUUGUAUUUUGCAGAGGAUGUUUUGGAAUCUGUACCGUCUAAAGUCCUUUGGAACAGGGCGUCAUGGAGGGUGAAAAUCCCGUGUUUUCGGAUACAUUUUCCGUGUAAAACUCCUUCGAAGAGUCGAGUUGUUUGGGAAUGCAGCUCUAAGUGGGAGGUAAAUUUCUUCCAAAGCUAAAUAUCUGCUAGAGACCGAUAGCGCACAAGUAGAGUGAUCGAAAGAUGAAAAGUACUUUGAAAAGAGAGUUAAAAAGCACGUGAAAUUGUUGAAAGGGAAGCUUAUGCAAUCAGACAUGAUUUUUAGGUUCAGCCUUUUGGUGUAUUCCUGAGAAUCAAGUCAACAUCAGUUUAGGUCGUCGGAUAAAAGUUUCGGGAAUGUAACUCUUCGGAGUGUUAUAGCCUGAUUCAAAAUGCGACGUAUUUAGACUGAGGUCCGCUUAUAGGAUGUUGACAU
RNAcentral lists this ribosomal RNA (460 nucleotides) under Trypethelium aff. platystomum Nelsen s.n. (F). RNAcentral's name for it is "eukaryotic LSU rRNA". It matches the Rfam family "Eukaryotic large subunit ribosomal RNA", at positions 136 to 632 of the family's 3401-position model. Lineage: Eukaryota; Fungi; Ascomycota; Dothideomycetes; Trypetheliales; Trypetheliaceae. The record is from RNAcentral.